This 468-nucleotide ribosomal RNA is filed under the name uncultured bacterium. Its description in RNAcentral is "partial 16S ribosomal RNA". It matches the Rfam family "Bacterial small subunit ribosomal RNA", at positions 28 to 507 of the family's 1533-position model. The record is from RNAcentral.
GACGAACGCUGGCGGCGUGCUUAACACAUGCAAGUCGAACGGAAAGGCCCUGCUUUUGUGGGGUGCUCGAGUGGCGAACGGGUGAGUAACACGUGGGUAACCUGCCCUUGACUUUGGGAUAACUUCAGGAAACUGGGGCUAAUACCGGAUAGGAGCUCCUGCUGCAUGGUGGGGGUUGGAAAGUUUCGGCGGUUGGGGAUGGACUCGCGGCUUAUCAGCUUGUUGGUGGGGUAGUGGCUUACCAAGGCUUUGACGGGUAGCCGGCCUGAGAGGGUGACCGGCCACAUUGGGACUGAGAUACGGCCCAGGCUCCUACGGGAGGCAGCAGUGGGGAAUAUUGCACAAUGGGCGGAAGCCUGAUGCAGCAACGCCGCGUGCGGGAUGACGGCCUUCGGGUUGUAAACCGCUUUCGCCUGUGACGAAGCGUGAGUGACGGUAAUGGGUAAAGAAGCACCGGCUAACUACGUG